AGCGAACGCUGGCGGCAGGCCUAACACAUGCAAGUCGAACGGACCCUUCGGGGUUAGUGGCGGACGGGUGAGUAACACGUGGGAACGUGCCUUUAGGUUCGGAAUAGCUCCUGGAAACGGGUGGUAAUGCCGAAUGUGCCCUUCGGGGGAAAGAUUUAUCGCCUUUAGAGCGGCCCGCGUCUGAUUAGCUUGUUGGUGGGGUAAUGGCCCACCAAGGCUACGAUCAGUAGCUGGUCUGAGAGGAUGACCAGCCACAUUGGGACUGAGACACGGCCCAAACUCCUGCGGGAGGCAGCAGUGGGGAAUCUUGCGCAAUGGGCGAAAGCCUGACGCAGCCAUGCCGCGUGUAUGAUGAAGGUCUUAGGAUUGUAAAAUACUUUCACCGGUGAAGAUAAUGACUGUAGCCGGAGAAGAAGCCCCGGCUAACUUCGUGCCAGCAGCCGCGGUAAUACGAAGGGGGCUAGCGUUGCUCGGAAUUACUGGGCGUAAAGGGAGCGUAGGCGGACAUUU
This 510-nucleotide ribosomal RNA is filed under the name uncultured bacterium. RNAcentral describes it as "bacterial SSU rRNA". It matches the Rfam family "Bacterial small subunit ribosomal RNA", at positions 28 to 584 of the family's 1533-position model. The record is from RNAcentral.